CCCCUCCCUCUUACGGUACUUUUAUCUUCUUCCUCCUCCGCCCCGCCGUGGCUCUGGAUCUGGUGACCUAGCUAGAUAGCUACCCAUGGCGAGCGGCCAUGCCUCGCUCCACUGAAGCCUCCUUGCUUCGAGCUACUCCACGCCUCAGUAAUUCAACUUCUCUGCCGUGUUCCCCUUGCGUGGAUCGAUCUACUUCCGGCCGGGCGCGCAGCGCAGGACGCGAGGGCUUGGUCUUGGUCUUGCCGCUGCUGCUUCCUCUGGGCUCCAGAUCUCCCGCUCGUUGAUGGCCGGCCGGUGAGUCCAUAGAAACUCCAAUCGCUCCAGCUUGAAAUUUCAUUUUUUUUUUCAUUUCAGACGUCCAUGGAUGGGUAGAUCUGCUAGUAAGUGCGUAAGUACGAGUCAGUCACCGCGGUGGCUGCCAGCAAUUCUCUGUGACUAUCGCAACCCUACCCAUCAGCUAGCUAGCUAUAACGUGAUGAAUUGCUUGCGAAGAGCCUGGUAGUGACGAUGGCGGCGCCGUGACCGGGCAGGCCAACUGAUGAACUGAGCACAGGAGGAGUAUCUUCGAAGCACUGUAUACGGAAUUACUUGUCGCAGAAAUAGAUGUAUCUAGACAUAUUCUAGUUCUAGAUACAUUCAUAUCCGAGACAACUAAUUCCGAACGGAGGGAGUAGUACCGAGCGAUUAGUAAGCGGCCGCCCAGCCUUGAACUCCCAAGAAACAUUUUCCAACUAGACUAGUAGUAGUGAUUAGAAACCACUAGUAAUAUAAAUGCCACUUCCGAGCUGGGUUUAGAGUGUUUCUGUCACAGAGCACCCGGACUGACGGACUCUGGUGUGGGAGAAAAGGAGAUGGCACCGGCCGCGCUGUGGCUUCCCAGAUCUAGACGCCGACCAAGUGGGUGGGCCUCACGCAUGAGCCACCGCGUUCUUUCAUUUUCCCCCUUUCCAAUUUGGAAAGAACGGGCGGUGCACCAGNNNNNNNNNNNNNNNNNNNNNNNNNNNNNNNNNNNNNNNNNNNNNNNNNNNNNNNNNNNNNNNNNNNNNNNNNNNNNNNNNNNNNNNNNNNNNNNNNNNNNNNNNNNNNNNNNNNNNNNNNNNNNNNNNNNNNNNNNNNNNNNNNNNNNNNNNNNNNNNNNNNNNNNNNNNNNNNNNNNNNNNNNNNNNNNNNNNNNNNNNNNNNNNNNNNNNNNNNNNNNNNNNNNNNNNNNNNNNNNNNNNNNNNNNNNNNNNNNNNNNNNNNNNNNNNNNNNNNNNNNNNNNNNNNNNNNNNNNNNNNNNNNNNNNNNNNNNNNNNNNNNNNNNNNNNNNNNNNNNNNNNNNNNNNNNNNNNNNNNNNNNNNNNNNNNNNNNNNNNNNNNNNNNNNNNNNNNNNNNNNNNNNNNNNNNNNNNNNNNNNNNNNNNNNNNNNNNNNNNNNNNNNNNNNNNNNNNNNNNNNNNNNCAUGCUCAAGACAGGCCUAUUUCAGGGGCACACUACUGGAGUUGUACUAAUAAUCUCUUUCCAUUUUCAGUACUACCACCAACGACCCUGCGAUCCAGCCGUGUACUAGGUGCACGUUGGAUGGGCGGCACAUUAUUUCAUUUUAUUUUAUUUUAUUAGGUGUGAGUCACCCCUCUUUUUCUAAUGUACAGAUACAGGCGCUAUAUACGCAAAUCGUAGUCGAUGAAAACGUCUUUUUCCAUUAAACAUCCAUCGUUGAAAGGCAUGAAAUAAUUCAGAAGAAUACAAACAUCGAUGUCAAGUUUGCAACUUAAAACUCUGAUGGCUCCUGUCCUUUUAACCAUCUAACCAUAUAUUGGUUCGUUCACGUCCGCACGCGCGGUCUUCCUUUUGCGUCGUCGAUAUUAGCCGGACGGGGCUUUCCAUUUUUUACUCAAGAUUAUGAAGACCCCAUUGUUGGAAUUAUGUGUCCUACAACUAUAUUCAAAUUACUUGGAAUUAUUAAUAUCCGGAAUACCUCAUUGUGAAAUUACAAAUGUGAUUUCAACACCCAUUGCAACGCACGAGGCCUUUUGCUAAUAAUAAUAAAUAUGAUAAUAAUAAUAAUAUAAUACUCUUCCCAUUCCUAAAUAUAAGUCUUUUUAGAGAUUUCAACACAGAAUACAUACGAAGCAAAAUGAGUGAAUCUACACACUAAAAUAUGUCCAUAUACAUCCGUUAUGUGACUAUAAAUUAAGAAAUAUCUAAAAAGACUUAUAUUUAGAAACAUAGGGAGUAUAAAGCAAAAGCUUGCUGAUUGUUAGGUUCAUAUAGGUUGGCUAGUAUUACUACAAAUGCCUCACGCAACUGCCUCCUCCCCCAAAAGUCCAGGGUUUCUUUGUGUCCCGCCGGCGUCGCCACCGACCUGCCUCGUCUUUGAUAGCCUUAGGGUCAUGGCGGCACGGUGGAUCCUGGCCCUUAGCGGGAGGGCUCUGUGUUUUAGAUGUUUCUUUGAGUUUUCUUAGGGUUUGUGUCCUACUCAAAAAGACGAGACGACGGCGACUCCCUGAAGAUGGAAUAAGAUUCUCCUUGUCUAACCUCUCAUACCGGUGGUGCGUCUAGUAUCGUCGGUGCGCGCGUGGAGAUGCGUCUCCGACGGAUUCUGUCCUUGGUAGAUUUGCCCGGAUCUGAUCGUAGUUCGUCUAUAUUCAUGUGUCUUCAAAUUGGAUCCUUUCGAUCUAUCUACGCUUCUCUUCAACGUCGGCAGUUGCUGUUCUGGUGCGCUGGUCUUAUGAGGCCUUAACACGACAAUUUCCCGACUGUCUAUUAUAACAAGUUUUGUCCGGCUCCGGUGAGGGAGAAGCGAUGACGGCGGCACGCUUUCGGCUUGCUUCAGUGCUUGUAGUCGUCACUAGGUGGUCUACAGGUCUGGAUGUAAUUUUUAUUAUUUCUAGUGUUCAUUGUAUUGCCAUGAUUAAAGAUGAAUAGAUCAUAAGUUUUCUUGUAAACAUAUAUAAUAUAAUAAUAUUUAUUAAUAUUAAUAAUAUAAUUAUAUAAUAAUAAUCACAAUAAUAUGAAUAAUAAUAAUCGCACGUUUUUCUCCUCCCAUUUGCCAUCUACUAGUACAGUACUAGGAGUUUCUAGAAAAAAACUAUAGGUUAAUAAGUUAUCUUUCCUCAAAAAAAAAAAAAUCUCUCCUCGUGCAUGCCGUGAGGAUCUUCUUCCCCCUCCGAUCCAUCACAUUUUCCCUAGCUCUUCCUUUCUCCCAAACCAGAUCUUUGCUGGCGUGGUUUCAAGGCCCAUCGAAGCUCGGGCAGCCGCGCGCGCGCUCUACGUCGAUGAUGAAGGCGGUAACGGCGACCAAAACCUUUCUUCGUAAUUGGAUUUCCUGUUCCAUGGUUUGGAUCAACUGCCGGCCGGCCAGCCGGCCGCCCGAUACGAAUUCAGCUUUCUUCUACCCCUGAUUUCGAUCCUUGUUUCUGUGGUAUGGGAUUAAUCAGAUCUCAAUCCCCUCGUUCCUUCAAAUCAAAUUUAUUCAACAAGGGUAGAGUCGCCUCCAAGUUUGGUCCCUAUUCUCAAAUUUGAUUUGCUCAUGCAUGCCUGCAGGAUCUCCUCGUCGCCGGCUGGCUGUAUGCACCGUAUCUGAUCCUUCCUCUUUGUCCAUGUGUUGAAACCAAACACGGUUCGAUCUGAGCGGAUGAUCAACUUCUCCCUAUGCCAGGUAAAGUCUUGCACUCCUGAUGAAGUUUCAACCUUACCACCAAGAUGCAAAUUUUCUGCUCCUUUUUUCACCUAAUUAGAACGAACUGCAUAUGCGUUAUGAAGGUGUGCUUAAUUAUAUGAUGAAGUCUUGCGAGAGUCGGGAAUUAUUUUUCGGUUCAGUUCUUUUUAUUCCUGUUCUUCUGACGUUGGAUUGGUUCUGAAUGUUUUUUCAUACUGAAAGGAAGUUUCGUUAUGUGGCUAUAAAUUAAUUUGGGAAUGAAACGGGAAGUAUGAAAUCAUCUUCUUCCUAACAUCCCAGGCUCUCUAGUGAGAAUUCCUGAUGUCUGACUGCCCGUUCUUUCCGUAUUUGUAGACCGAUUCAGGAUUUACAUGUCGAUCAUCGUUUCUGGAGUGAUGGAUCUUCUGCAAAUUGAUCUGUGAAAGCCUUGAAGAAACAAAGAAACAAAACAUUCUAAUCCCCCGACUUAGUUAGGCAACAAUAACAUAGCAAGAACUUGAAAUAAAACACAUUCAUUUGGGAGCCCAUAUCACACGAAUUACAUUUCAAUUGACAUAGGAAAUGAAAAGGAAAAGGAAAAAAAGUUGUUACAAUGUGUGAAGAUUAUCAAAUUCACAAUAUUGACGCCCUUCCCUCCCCACAUGACUACCGCAAAAAUUAUCUGACACGAGGCAUUGCCAUGUUUAAUUGGACGCAAACAGAAGCACCGACACCAGUUACUUUGCGGCGAUAGGUCGACAGAACGAACUAGACAGGAAGGGAGGAAAGAAAUGAAGAUGGAGCUUGUUGCGCCAGCCCUCAAAGGGGAGGAUGGGAACUGACCAUGCGGCGGAGGAAGGGGAGAGAGAGGGAUAUAAAUUAAAGUGAUUAGAAGAGUAAUUACGCAAUCAGUAUAGACUUGCAGAGGCCCAUUUUUUAAGAAAAAACAGCGAGGACUAGCCCUUGGUUGCCAACUGAGCGACUCUCGGCGAUCAACUUAAUUCCUAAGGGUUUGGAUUAUAUGUUGAUGGAUGGCCGAGGUCGUGUGGUUCUGACAAACUUGUUAUUUUUAGAAAACAACCUGUUAAAAUACUACCAUAUCUAAAAAUUGCUUCCUUUUUUUGCCCACUAGCUCUAAAAUAUUAUGUCUUUCAUCCCAUUUAUCAAAAUCUCCCUGUCCCUAUGGCUUGGCCACUUGUCAAACCCAUACGUCAACUAAUUGAAGCCACAUCACAAAAUCUAAAUAAUAACAAGACUUCACUCUCUUUAAGCAAUAAUCUAGCGACGCAUUUGGCAUCCCUCCACGAGUCGGGCUUCAGCUUCUGGGAAUACGCCACUACCUCCUCCUGCCCUUGACGACAUUAUCUUUUUAAAAUCGCCAUCAAGGCACUUAAUUAAUUCAUAGGCAGGUUAACAUCUAAUUACAUGGGAUUACACCAUCAAUACUUGAAUCAAUAUCCAGCAUAAGUGUUGUCUUGGUGCACACACGUGCAUACAAUUGACAUUCCUAGCAAAACAAAAAGUAAAACCCCGGAAGUUUGAGAGAUAUCCCCUCAUCUUUUUGAAAAUCUGACCGCAUGCAGAGCGAUCCUCACCUUUCAUCCACAUAGAGUACAAGACUUGACAAUCCGUCUAGAGCACAAUGUACUGAAAGUCUUUCUCCAUAGCCAUAAUCACUCCUUCAUGGCAUGCCAGUGUCCCAAUGAUGAGCGGUUCAGAGAUUGCAUUAUAUUUAACAUACAUCGCCUGGAUAAGACCCAUCAUGUUCUCGAGCAAUCACCCCAGCUCCUGCUAUACCUCGACUUGAUUUUUGAAAUUGCUAUUAAAUUUUAUUUACUAAAAUAUUGUAAGCCACCUUCAAUUAAAUUUUGUUACAAAUAAUUCUAAGGAAUUUAUAAGGGUAAAUUACAAUUUAGAUUGUAAUUCUACUAUAUACUGUACUCUCGCCGUUUUAGUUUACUAGGUCCAUCUAAAAAAUCACUGUACCCAAAAAAGACCUAAUCAAGUGCUGGACCACGUAUUAAUGCAGUAUGCUUCGUCAUGGCUCUUUUCCUGCAUUUGUUGGUUCUAAAUUAAGAACCAAAAUUUGACAAAUACCAAUGUGGCUCUAAUUAAUGAUUGCGUAAACCCAAGGCACGGGGGCUUACAAACUAAAAACUCAGAUAUUUUGAGAUGGGUCUAACAAACUGGACGGGAGGGACUAUUAGGCAGUAACAUUAUGCUUGGAGUUGAAGUUUCAUGUCUUUUGAGAUUAAUAAUAAGAAUCCAUACAUUUAUUGUUCCAACACUUGAAUGUGGUAAACACAUGAAAUAUGUCAAAGUAGAGGGUAAAGAGGAAGAAAAAGCAAAUCAGAGUAUCUUGGACACUUCGGCACAAAUUAGUAGAAAUAGUAGAAUUUAUUCUGAAAAGGGAGAAUCAUGUUAACACCACGGAGCUCUGUGGGUGAAUUCAUUUGUAUCUGUAUAUAGGAGAUUCAGCCAGCAAAAGUUACACAUGGUCCACAAUCUCUUGUGAUUAACGAGUUGCGUAUGUCCUACAUAGUGCACCCAAUCUUCGGGAUAUUUUAGAACUUAGCCCGGGCACACAUGCCUCACAUUUUAACUCAUUCUAUGCUUCUCAUCAUUUCGUUGUUUGGUCACUCUUGCAGGUUCUAGGCCAGCUACCAAGCAUCAUCUGCUCGGGAUAUUUUGUUUACUCUGACAUCCCGUAACUCUGUUGAAUUACUCUCCUAUAUAUCGUCAUGUAUAGAUGGUGCGUUCCUUUUACAGCGAGCUGUACGUGUUGCACAACACAUCUUAUCUAUUCUACAGUUGCAGAGUUGCCUAGGAUUAUGUUCUCAGCAUUUCGUUCUUUGGUCACUUGUGCAGGUUCUGGGUCAGCCACCAAGAUUCCUCUGUUCUGCAUAUUUUGUUUCGUCUGACAUCCAACAAGUCUGGAAGCGAUCUCUUUAUAGCGUCACAUAUAACUGGCACGCUUCUUUUGAAGUCUCGUGCAUUUACUUGGAGCUCAUUGACACCGGUUAGUCUGAAGUGCAUCGGCUAUAAACAUGGGUAUUUUCGAUUAUUUUAAAUUUAUUUCAUCAGGACAUACAUUUCCAUGAAAAGAAAAUCAUCCCAUCUGCAUCAACAUUGAUGUUGUAGUGAGACCGAGAGAAGCCGAAGAAAACUUGCCAAGUCCUUUUUCCCAUUCUCCCGCGCAACCCAUCCCUAUGGCGGCUCCAGGACUGAAAUCCUAGUUCACCCCCCUCCUCUUGCGCUUGAGUCUUGUUUUGUCCCCAUUGGCUAGAGGUUGGACAGGGCGAGGCAUGUCACAUGUGGUGAUGGUGGCGUGCGACAAUGGUGACGCCGACGAGGCGCACCAUGGGAACAGUGGAGACAGGCGAUGCCGGAGACGCGUGGGUGGCGGUUGGCGCUAUGUGGUGGUGACGACAAUGGUGUAGGUGCCAAAGUGCGCAUGGUGGGCGGUGGGGUGCCAGGGGCACGGUGGCGGUAGGCGGUGCCAGAGUCACAUGGGUAGCAUGCGAUGGUGAUAGCGGCACAUGGCGGUGGUGGUGAGAUGCAUAGGGUGGACGGUGGGGCGCACCAAGGCAUGAUGGUGGUGGGUGGUGGCGAUUGGCGCUAUGUGGUGGUGACGACAAUGGNNNNNNNNNNNNNNNNNNNNNNNNNNNNNNNNNNNNNNNNNNNNNNNNNNNNNNNNNNNNNNNNNNNNNNNNNNNNNNNNNNNNNNNNNNNNNNNNNNNNNNNNNNNNNNNNNNNNNNNNNNNNNNNNNNNNNNNNNNAUGGUAUAGGUGCCAAAGUGCACAUGGUGGGCGGUGGGGUGCCAGGGGCACGGUGGCGGUAGGCGGUGCCAAAGUCACGUGGGUGGCAUGUGAUGGUGAUAGUGGCACAUGGCGGUGGCGGUGAGAUGCAUAGGGUGGACGGUGGGGCGCACCAGGGCACGAUGGUGGUGGGUGGUGGUGAUUGGCCAGUCACACGGGUGGCGUCGGUGGACCAGAUGCACGGUGGUGUUAAGGGGUGUGCUCGCGGCGGACGUGUCGGUCUACUUGUUAAGCUCCGACGACGAUAAAAAGCGCGAGGAUCGCGGCGACAAUGGAAGAUUCAGAGGAAGAGGAUGCGUCAGCGAAGGAAGAUGCAGAGGAGGCCGCUGGUGGUGGCGAGUGGUGUGCCCGCGGUGGAUGUUGUGUCGGUCGAUUUGUCGAGCUCCGACAACGACAAAUAGCACGAGGAUCAUGGCGGCAAUGGGAGAUUCGGAGGAAGAGGAUGUGUCGGGGAAGGAAGAUGAGGAGGAGGCCGAUGGUACCGACGAGGUAUGCAUCCCCUCGUGGGAGGAGGCGGAAAGGGAGUAUGAGUGGGCGCUACCCAAGGAGGAGCACCGGGGUGGGAUGGCUCAUCGCGCACGUCGUGUUGGAAAGGUCCAUCGGCGACGAGCGUGAGAUAGUCGAGAAUCACCAUGACAGCGAGAACAAGAGCUGCUCUUUUAGCGCCGAUGACUUGAAGGUACCAUGGUGGAGCAUCCAUGAUGCCGAUGAGUCGCUCGGGGAAGGCGUAUUUGAUCUACCUCUCUUCCGAUAAGGACAAACACGUUUAUCCCGUUUUUAGCUCUAAAUCUACUUCCUCCGUCACGGUUUAGAAGGCGCGCUUGAAAAUUCUCUGGGACCUAGGUGGUUAUCUAUUGGUUGUGGGAUGGGCUAAAAAAUAUCAUUCACAUUACGCAUGCAUAUAGAAAUAGUAUAUUGGAGUACUAAUUAGCUACUAGAAGUAAAUGCAAUGCGCCCUAAACCUUGUCUAUUGUGAAAACGCACGCAAAUUUAACUGUGCCUUCUAAACUGUGACAGAGGAAUUAGGUUGUAGUUAGUUUAAGUACUUGGAUAUUUAAUGUGCACCCUAAAAUCUAGCGUAGCGGCAUAGGUAGAAAUCUAGUUUGGUGCUCGAGAGACCUCAAAUCUGACCACACAACUACUCCCUCUGUUCCGAAUUACUUGUCGCAGGUAUAGAUGUAUCUAGAUAUAUUUUAGUUCUAGAUACAUCCAUUUCUGCGACGAGUAAUAUGAAAUUACUUGUCGCAGGUAUGGAUGUAUCUAGAUAUAUUUUAAUUCUAGAUACAUCCAUUUCUGCUACGAGUAAUAUGGAACAGAGGGAGUAUGAAGUAGCUGUAGUAAUGGACUUUUGUUUGCUGUGACAGAAGUUGCAGAAAGUAAAAAACCAUGCAAGUGAUAAGCUCUUAAGAUGUCGGCAACACCUAAUGUUUGCAUUGCACUCAUCAUUCAAUGUCUGUUAACACCCAAGUAGUAAAAUAAAUUUGAUCAGCUAGCAGUAGCACACUUCGUCUACCACACACACAGUGAGUCUCACAAACACAGUGGCUCAUUAAUGAGUACAAGUGGGACACCACAAAUGUUGAAGGCACUAGUCGCAAUCUCCAAGAAAGCACUAUUCGCAUUGCUCUUGCCCACGCAAACAGAUAGUACUACCACUCCAGUCUUGCCGCAGAACCCACUCAAACUUCCCUGACAUCAACCUCGGGAUCCGAGCAAGAACCACCAUGUUUCAUCAUUGUCAUGAGUGCAUCAAUGACAUAGUCUGAGUCAUAGUUGAUCAAGUGAAGCAAUUGAUCAGUACCAGUUCCCGCGAGCCUUGUCAUGGAGGCUGGGUAGUUGGGAACCAGGUUGCCAUCCUCAUCUUGCUCAUAAACAAUGUAGUUUUUGAUGCGAUUAUGUCCUUCCUUUGCUGACAAGGCAUUGACUGAACCAUUCAUCUGAUGCACUGCUUUAAUCAGUUUGUCAUUCCAUCCGUGCACCUCAUAGUACUUGUACAGCAGGGCAACAUAUAAAGCAAGGAAUGAUCUGCCCAUGCUAGACCAAUCAUGUAAGUGAUCGUUCAACUCUUCAUGAAGCGGGACUGCAUCCCCAUUCUUGAAGUUCUGCUCCGCAAACUGCAAGAACACCCCUGAACGUUGACACUCCCCAAAUAAUAUCAUAAAUGUCUGCAGCACUCUAACUCUAUCAUAUAUCCAAUCUCCAAUACUAGUGCUGUUCUCUGGAGUGAAUAUUUUCAAGUGACAAUUGGUGGGGGUGAAAGCAAGGAGGCAUUCCAGUAAGUUCAGAGUUAUCCCUUUACCAAGAGUUAUCCCCACUUGCUUCGUGUAUCCACUGUCCCAACUUAGCUUAUUCCCUUCCAGAUCAAAGGGAAGGUUUACAUCCUUAAAGUAAAACCAUCCACCCGGAUUUUCCUUGGUUGGAACAACAUAGAAUGCGAUCAGAUAACCGUCACUUUGGCGAAAUAGAAGCCACAGCACAACCUUACUGUCCAGCUCAAUCUCCACCAUGUUGUAUGUUUCCUGCAAUUCACAUUUGCACAUCAUUUCAACUCCUAGCCACAUGUAGGAAAAAGGAUAAGAAAAAGAAGAAAAGAAUCAGCGAAUAUUACAUUUUCAGAAGGCUGCGUGACUGGAACUCCUUGAAUGCUCAUUGAUCUCACUUUCUUAAAGAGCUUGCGUCUAGCAUCCAGAACUUCCUUCAAACCAUCAUAGUUACUCUGAAUGGCGCCACGCUCGUCAAUGCUUUGAAUAUUGCCAUCCUGGUCAGUCUUCAGUCUCCAUAUUACGCUCUUAACAUCCUGCAGCAAAGAGGAAGCAACAAGCAUUAGUUUCUAAAAAUCAUUUGCUAUGCUUUAUCAACUUGCGGACAGAACUCAAGGUCAUAAAUAUAUUGCAGUCUAGCAUUUGCCUCUAUAUAUAUCCAAAAUUCUGAACCUACAGUUAAUAUGACAACUCUGAUACUGCUUGUCAAGUCACAAGAUAAUGAAUUAAAGUGUUGCACUGUUAUCUGCUGGUAGGUAUAACACAUAUGCCCAAACAUAUCGCUUCUACUCCUGCUUUUGCACUUAAGGUGAACAGAUUGCACAUAUGAUUCAUAAACCAAAGCAUACUGCUUCUACUCUACUUAUGCACCGAAAAGUUACAGAUUGCACAAAGAACUCUUUCAUGAAGAAUAUUACAGCUUGCAUUUCAUGACAAUGAAAAGGGGCAAAUGAUAUUUUGCAUGUUUGUUCUCACAUUAAGUUAUGCAAAAAUUAAAAUAUACGAAUGUGUUGUUCAUAGUGGUUAAGUUCAACGAAUAUGUAGUAUUCCUGUUAAUUCUUAGUUAACUUACAGACCUGUGAGAGGCUGUGUAUAUUAGUUUAAAUAUAUAAUUCUAAUGAUGUCAGAAAGCUGUGAGGCAGUGGUCAUCUAACGAGCAGCUGUAAAUUAACUUUCUCUUUUGAAAGCCACAACCACAAUUAGUUAGCAGCAUGUCAAAUUGAAAAAAAAAAACAAGUGAGAGAGAAGAAUGCUUGUGGUCGUCCAACACACGGAUUAAGUGAUAUUUGGCAAGACAGAUUUCUUUAGGAAUUAGUUCAAAUUCGAACAAACAUAACUGAGCAUUAGAACCCAAAUUUCACCCAUUCAAACAAGCCCUGAGUGCAGUACCUGUAUGCUGAAAGAUUCUAUUCACUGCUGGCAUAGUCUGAAUAAUUAAGCAAUGAAAUUGCAAAACACCAUACAAUUUCAAUAGCAACAAGUGAAUGAUCUAGUGGAAGGAUGUGUUUGGUUUGAGCCCCAACUAGCCCACCAAAAUUUUGGCAUGACCAAGACAAGGGCAUGACUGAAAAUUCGGCAACUCCUUGUUGUUUGGAUUAUAGCAACUAGUUGAUACCCCGCGCGUUGCAGCGGGAUAUUUUGUUAGAAAUCUUUUGAAUGUGUAUCAAAGAAAAAAGGCAAUGAUUGAACAAAGUGGCAUGAUAUCAGGCGAGGUGUUUCGUGAAAACAUUUUAAACUCUCAUGUUCCAUGAAAUUGUGAGAAUUAAAUGGCAUAACUCAAAUUUGAUACAGAGCAGGUGGAGAAUUUGCAAUAUACUGUUACCACAGUAUGGUUCUGAUAUUAUCUUGGAAAAUUAUGCCAAGUGAAAAAAGUUAAAUUGAUUUGAAAAUCAUACACUAAAAAUUAAUGUACACACAUACGGAAGUACAGAGUUGAAAGCACAAUCCAUACAAUGCAAAGAAGUAACUUAAGGGUUGCAUAGUUGAAUCGAAAGUGCUGUACACACGAUGUUGAUGGACAAUUUGUGCACGACUUGCUUAAAAGCCACACAGAUUAAAGAAAUGAGGCAAUCCAAUGGUCUAGAUGACAUGUCGUGUCGGAAUCGUGCAAAAAUCUGUCAUGUGCAUAGCACUACUCUUGUUGAAUAGAAUCUGGAGUCUGUAGCAUUUGUUUCAUUGCGAUUUACGCAAAUAUUAGUUGUAGCAGAAAGUAGCAUUAUAUGAUAUCCGCCCAGAGUACAAAAGAAACAUGCUUAGUUGAAGCAUUGGUCUGAAUAUUUCUGCAAUUUCAUCUCAGAUUAGUUUUUUUGAAAAACAACUUGACUGGAGAUCAGAUAAACAAUCAUUAAUAGUAGUACUCCCUUCUCUGAAACAAAUUUAACUGCAUGCUAGUAUAUAACGGCCUAUGUAUCCAUCUCUUGUGGGAAAAGAAUUCUGUUAUACCAAAUCCAAAAAUUGCUAAACACUGUCCCACCACGAACAAAGCAGGAAUGCACUUACCUGUCCAUAGUACAACCUAAAACAUAGUUCCAAAAAAUAUAGAGGGAGUUCAGGGUAGCAACAAAUUAAAGGCAGAGUGGAGAAACUGAAUCCUCAUGGGAACCAAAUGACAUCUACUGUUGUUGGCAACAUAGGCAUCCAUGAUCCAUGGUGAUGGAGUCUCCAGCCAAGCUUCUUCAUAACAAUCAUGGCGAAGGCUGGAUGGAAAGUAAAGUCAAUCAAAUCUGCGGCCUCCUCUUACGGCAAUAGUUAGCCAAAACACGCAGCGGUGAAAACUGUCAUAUGGCGAGGAGUGGCCGCGCAACUGGAUGAAGGGGUAGCCUGAUUGAACCGAAAGAAGACAGAGGAUUUAUGAGGAUCGAUGAAGCCCAAGGGAGAGGAACUGAGGGGUCUCGUUGGGAGAGCAAUUGCCCAGCGCGUCCUUUUCUGUUGCAAGAUUUGAUGGAAGAAGAUGAAAAGAGAGGGGACUCAGCAGGCGCAUGCAUCCGGAGGGCUCGUGGCGGCGGCUGGCUGUGCGCCUGCGCCAAAGAAGUAGGCAAUCGGGGAGAUUUGUUUUUUUCUUUCACAGGAUAUCCUUUGUUUCCCCAUGGGCUUCGAAUAUCUAAGACGGACGUACAAUCCAUUUAACACUUGGCCCAGCCCAACUCCCUCGUUUGCUUCUCAUUUAGCCCAGUUUGAGGGUCGUCUUCAACCUUCUGCACAUGCACGAACAAACAUAGACGCACAACUACUAUGAAUACCUAUCAUAUUGGACAAUUUAGGCCACGGAUUGCGUUAACUUCAAACAUAAAAUUUGUUAUCCUAUUAGUCACGAACCCAUUCCACCAGAAUGCAGAGGAUAUUGUACAGUAACAAAGGAGAUCGAGAAAAGGAGCUUGGCCAUAGGGAAUGACCGGUCGCACUAUCAAGGAACCACCAGAGGGCCACAGUAUCGAGGGAACCAUGCAAGAGAGCGGAGGAGUCUAUCUGGGGACACCAUAGUCGGUGCGCUACCACGGCGAGCUAGAUAGUCAUAGAUAAGCCACGGGGAUGACCCGUCACAAUUGAUGAAUGUUUGCGCUUUUGUAUAUCCAGUUCGUUUGGAGGAGAAAGAAUGAAGGAGAAGGAACGAAACGUUAUUUCACUUAGCGGUGGCAGCUCUCAGUAAUUUGGGCCAACUCUUGAUCAGACGACUGUAGACGACCGAUCUAUGAUGCAUCAAUGGCUAGAACAAUUCGGGUGACGUGGCUUCAUGAGAAGGCAGGAAAAUCAUCUAGUGGGGUGCCCCUAUUUAGAUAUAGAAGAUUGCACCUACUAUUUUUUUGGCAACAUGUAUUAGUUUUUGCUUAGUUUGAUUCCUAUUCAGCUAUCAUGUUGCGUUAACAAAUGCAGAAACAAAUGUUAAACAAAACUUAGUUAACUACAGUGUGGCAAAAGAAACUGAAUGAACCUGUAAAAAGUGUGGAUCUUUAACACCGAUGUCACCAUGCACCUAGUUCUACCUAUCUCUGAAGACAUAGUCGAUUAUAGGAAAAGUCACAGCUGAUUAUACGGAAACUGAGACAACUAAAUUGACGUGGCUAAACAGGACUAGUUACACUUACAUGGCUUCAUACAUGGAAACUGAACACGCGCUUAAUGAUCUAUUCAAACUAUUGCUGGAUGAGAUGUCACCGCUUAUUGCUUCCGUCAACCGUCAACGUGAACUCAUGUAGUUAAUCUACCUCACUAAUUGCUUCAGUGUUUCAGUACAGAAUGAGGCCCCACAUAUGUGAAGCGGGCAAGCUGGUCUGCCAAAUAUUUGGCGAGUGCUUUAGCGCAAACGGUAUGCCCAGGCAUUGGCGAAAAUUACAUGGGAGCAUGAGGACUUGCUUUGGCGAACCAAAUUUUUGGCAUCUAUAUGCAAGCAAAAGUCAAAUCUCACGGACAAGUCACAAAAUUGGUAUGGCUAGUAUUGGUAGUAACCAGACACCUGAAGUCUCACCAAAGAUAAAAUUUACUUUCAAAGUCAAUUAUAUUAGCGUUGCAACAACUAGCAAUCCCUUGCAAGUUCAUAAAUUCAGUUACUUUCUUGACUGUCCCUAAAUACCAGACCGGUCAAAUUCGUCAAAACCUGCUUUUUAAGCUAGACGCAGCACAAGCAAGUAGGUAUUCGCCCAGAUCUACUUUUCAAGUAAAUAUCCUAGCCGGAUGUAGAAAAUAUCCUAUCAUUUCACCAGAUCUAGAGAUACGGAAGAAUAUUUGGAAGCCGAAGAUGGCAGGGGGGAUGGAUUGGUAGAUGCAUACCGAAAUGCUGGUCUGCUUGCAAGCAAUCGACCGCCUCGAGGCCUCCUGAAAAGCCAAAUCCUUUUUCUUCUGCACCGCAUCCCCCGCCCCACUAUUCUGGCUGCUAUCAGAUGGUCGACUGCUGCUACUGAUAGUUGCCUUCGUCCCUCCGCGGCUGCUGGAUUCGUUGACCGACGCUCCUCUUUUCUUCCCCCCCCCCACCUCCCCCCGGCUAUGUGUAGCGCCGCGCCGCGCCUCCCACCGCCCCUUCCUCUUGUGCAAGCGACGAAUCUGUGGAGAGAGUAUAAGCGGAGGAGCACUUGCGGUGACUGUAAAGUCGACACUUUUCUACUGCCUGCCCGACUAAUGCUUCUCAAGAGAGGAUGGUUUAGGAUAUCUCCAAGGCCGGCCCUCAAAAGGUCCGCAUACAUUUGGACCCCCUUGUCCAAAUGCGUUGUGCCAUUCAAUAUGGCCCUGUAUCGGUCAAUCGAAUGAUUCAGACGUGUUUUCUUUCAUAAACCGAAAACAAACAUGGGGCUUUGGGGGCAUCCGACCACUCCCAAGUCCACGUCUGACCGCUUUGGCCCACCCAAAUCGUCCCCCUCGCCCGCGAUUGCUUCCCACCUGUAACGGUUAGCGCCGCUCCAGAGCGUUAGUGCCGCAUUCAUGCUCGGCUAGAGUGUAUGUAACCUCUCAUUGUCGUCGGCAUUGAAGCGGCAUGUAGGUCGAGAGACAGUCGCCCGCGCUGCUUCCCGGUGCAGGCGACUGCUCCAUGUUCAGACGACACAACGACUGGUCGUCCAUUCGUCUGUCGCCCACAGUAAUGACACAGUUGCCGAUGCGUCUAGUCCGGCGCACCCGUCCGUCCCUGUCGCCCACCAUUACUAUAUAAACUGCUUCUCCGGCCAUAGCCAUAGUCACCCGCCUAUCCGUCUGCCGCCCACAGUAAUGACACAGUUGCCGAGGCAUCUAGUCCGGCGCCACCCGUCCGUCCCUGUCGCCCACCAUUACUAUAUAAACUGCUUCCCCGGCCAUAGCCAUAGUCAUCCGCCUCCAAUCCCUUUCUCCUCUCCGCACCACUUCGACCAUGACUUUCUCGCGCUCCAAAGCACUCUGGGAUGGGCUGAUGACGGACCAGAAGAAGAUGACCGCCAUUACUAUCGACUGGCUGGCGGGCUGACAGCCGGAGGAUGACGACGUCCCAAUGGAGGACGACGAGCCGGCGCCACUCUCCUCGUCCGCACCACCCUCACCGGUGCAUUGCACCAUGACCAUCGGCGAGGCCUGUGCCCAUUACAUUGACAUGGUGAGGGAGGAGCGGGAGGACUAGUUCCGGGAGGCGCAGGUCGACGCCACCUACAACCUCCAGCUCCUCCAAGAGCACCAGCAGGUGGAGCAGCAGCUCAACGUCGGCAGGGUGAUCGCACCGGAUGUGAACGUGGCAGAGCAGGCGGUGCUGCUCGAGUCCUACAGCUCCGUUCGCCAGAUCCACCUCGACCGAUGGCGGGACCUCCAUCGUCAGGCGAAACUGGAGGCCGCCUACAAGGGGUUCGACGAGGCACCGGACGAGGUGUGGGGCAAGACCGGCGAGGUGGAGGACAUCGCCGGCUCUGCCCCGCCGCCACGAUCACGAAGCCGACACGUCCGUGGGCGCCACUGGCAGCGAGGAAAAGUAGUGCACGGCAUGUCGCCACCGCUCGGGUCCCAAAAAGGCCACCGCUCUCCCCUCUCAUUGAAGCCAAGCUUGGUGGGUUCAACAUCGCCGGUUGGUGAGCCGCUUGGCGGCGAUGUGGAGGCGGAUAACUUCACUUCUCGGGGCUUCGAAGGCGGAGCUGAAGAGCGCCGAUGCGGAACUAAAGAAGGCGAAGCUUCAGUUCUUGGGGCUCAUGGUCGGACAGGGGAAACAGACGCCGACGAUAAUAGAUUAGGUUAAUUAAUUAUACCUUCGGAGCCGAACGAGCAAUACUUUUAGUUGAAGUAUGUCCGAAAUGUAAUGAAAUCCGGCAUGUAUGAAAUCCAACAUGUUUAUAUGAAAUUCGGCCGUGUUUGAAUGAAUUUCGUCCGGUUAGUUUGAAUUAUUAUCCAAAUGUAUGCAGACAGUGUUGGAUGACGGCGUCUCGCAUCCGUGUCUGUGGGCUGGUCCCCCUGUCCAGGGAAGGAAAUUUACGGAUCGCCGUUGGAGAUUCCCUUAGAGGAAUAAUGAUUUUAGCCCGGUUUUCCAUGCUUAAUCGAGCAUUGGUUUUCAGAUGUGUUUACCUGCAUCAAUUUAGCCGAUCCGCAUUUAUAGCUGAGUUACUACAUGCUAUAAAUCAUGUUCUGCAUAUAGGUGGUUGUCUGCAUUGCAUCAUGAAGUUAUCUUCACUCGGGCUCUCCCUCUAGUGACCAGCCGCCGUUAUCGGAUCUUGUCGAAGGAGGUUGUCCCCUAGUUGCCACGCUGGAGCUCGCCGCUCGUCACAACGGAAGGUUCGAUCCCAACCCCUCCUCCCUCUCGAGCGUCCCUCGUCGCCAGCCACGCCAAUUUGUUGUGUUCUUAUAUAUAAUGGAUAGAUUGAUUGAAAUAUAGUAGUAGAACAUUGGCCGCCACCGGCAGAAGCUGAUGAAAUCUGUCAUAGUGCAGUAUCGAAGUUAAUCCACCAGCAGAACAUCCCGAAAUCAGAGCCUGCCACAUCCUUGAAAUAGAAGGAAAUUAGAGCCUGCUACAGUUUCAUUAGUCAUGCCACAGGCAUAUUAGUAGAACGCCCGUGCGUUGCUACAGGCUACAAUGCAUAUAAAUGAUUCAAAUAAAUAAUUAAGAUUGUCUCUAAAGUUCAACCUCAUUUCGCCCUCUUCUCUGGGCCUGUUUAGACAUCAAACGGGUGUUCAACGCUCUUCCCAAAAUCAAGGGGGGCAAGGCAUGCGCCGCCCAUGACACCUCCCAAGUUGAAUGUCUUGCAUUACCACCAAGCAAAAAUUUGAUGUUUGUUGUUGGGCAUGCAACUCAUAUACCACCGUGUCCGUUAUUAACUUCUAAAGCAACCAACCAAUGCAUUUACCCUUCUAUUCUAACCAAAAAAAUUGCAUGACUUGAUGAAAAAGAAUAUGAACCACCCGCUCAUGCAAUUUACGGCAAAGCCAUCUCUAAUGAAAUGCAAUUUGUCACAUUUUCUAAAGUAGGGGAAUUAUUUCGCUUAGACAACCAUAACUGAACAGACAAGCCCAAUCCCCAUCCCGCUCACUCUGAACCCUUACUCUUAUCACAAUAUCCACUAACUCGUGUUCUAAGUGAGCUAGUGAUCAACACCACAAUAGCAAGCCAUCAGCAAAAAACAAGGGCGGCAACCGCCUUCCUAUCUUAGUGAUAGUACCUCCUGGUUCCAUACUGGACCCACCCUUCAUCCCGGGCUAUAGCACGUCGUCGUCACACUCAUACAUUGCUAUGUAAAAAUAAAGCUAUGAACAGAAAUUUUCGCCCAAAGCACUUAAGCGAUAAACCUAAAACUACUUUUAGGUCACCAAAUUUACCAAUUAUAUGCUCCAAUAAACCAAAUGAAAGAGAGGGUAUAUCAAGUUGGAACCUUGAAUACAAAUUUAUUCUCCUCACUUUAUAUCUAAUAUACCAAAAACUGCUUUUAGGUUACCAAAUUUACCAAUUUUAUGAUCCAAUAAACCAAAUGAAUGAGAGGGCAUAUCAAGUUGGAACCUUGAGUUUCCCUUCAACAAAAGUUGGAGCCGUGAGCUAAAUACGAGAACCUAAAUAGAUAACAUUCGAGAUGUUUGAGGUACUGGGAAAACCAUCUAAAACCUAAUAAAAAAGUCUAGCUGAAAUAUAAAUAUUUGAUUAUAUUGCAUGGAUAAACCAGCAUUGCCACCGGAGAAAACAAUUAUUGACACCAAAUUGUUCUAAUCAAGAAUGUGUCUUGAACUUGACAGAAUUGGUUUUCAUGCAUAGUGGCAAGUUUUCACUCUCACCCGCUUCUUAUUGGAGCAAAAGGCCACAACCCAGUUCCUCCUGAAAAAUGAGACCAAGGUGUGGCAUUGAUACGUUUUAUAGCCCCAAACAUUCGAGAUGACAACGACAUCAUCGCCGAAGCACACCAACAGGGCAACAACGAGAUAUGCAAGAACUAAAAAUAAAGUGCUAAAAGCAUGGUUUACUAAGGAUAACCGUUCAUAUACUGAAACAUAGCUAAACAACAAGUAAAUUCAAAACAUGCUACCCCCGUGCUAGGAAAGAACUUCAGCAUACAGAAAUUUUAUGCAUGGAGCUUCAAGCUUCACAAAGCCAGCCGACGUGUUCUUUAGUUCUGCACCGGUUCAUUGCCACCUUGGAAUGGUAGCUUCCAUCAUCUUCCCUGCCACGAAGACCCGAAAUUGGUCCAACUCUAGAGUGAUGUCAUGAACAUAGCAACCGGUCCUUCUAAUUCAUACCUCUUGGCAUAAAAACAAAAUGGAUUAUCUCACUCAACUCCUAGAGGGAUUCGAGUCAUCAUUGAAAUCUGGAGGAAGAAGAAGAUCGUAGACCAGCAGUCUGAGAAAGGAAAUGGUCAUGAGAAGAACAAUAAAGAUACUAUUGUCACCUAAGCCGAUUACAUAUUGGGGUAAAAAACCUGAUUGGACGAAACAUAUAAUUUUGUUAGGUUGGAAAUCAGAAACAUUGUGUCAAUUUAUGAAGGCCACAGAAAACAUACUUGCUGAUUCAUUCGACAACAUGAGAGCUCAAACUAAGUUGAAGUGGUUUCCUUUUAAAAAAAUCCAGUAUUGAUCAUGAAUUGUUCAACAAAAAUGAGAGUGCAUGAAUAUACAUUACUACAGUAUAUUAUAUAUGCAACUUGUAAUUCUCGUAAGUGAGAAAAUACAUCGCUUGCAAGAAUGUGCUUACCUAACUUGAUCUCAGCUAUUUUCAUAUGAACUUUACAAAUUUUACAUACUGUGUUACAUAUGUCUUUCUGUUCUCAGGUUUUUAACUGAAAAAACAUGAUACUAUGCAAUUUGUCCUCACCCCGCCGGUGGGUCAGCGGUAUAGUUAUGGCUCACCCUUGGUGUGCUUCGGCGAUGAUCACCUUUGGGGUGCAUUAAGGUGAAGGCCGUGCUGUCUGAUGCCAUGCUGUCACAUGAUCAUGUAACUGUAAUAAGAACUACGGGUGAUAGAAUAUGCAUGAAAACAAUUGGUCAGUUCAUCAUAUCCCCUGCCACCAGCUACAAAGUAUAACAAUAUCCACAUGUUUUAUAUCCCCUGUCACCAACUACAACAUGUGAAAAUCUUGACAGGUAACAAAUUGGUAACUGAGCAACAUCUAUGCUGUCAUGUAACAAUAAUGACGAGGUUCAGUCAGAGUCAAGAUGUCAUUGUGUUGUACUGUCAAAGAAAAAGGAUGUUCGCAUGGCAUUGCUACUGUGAAAAAAACUGCAUGCCAGCAACUCAAUAGUACUAAGAUAUACCUCUUCGCCAGUUUAAUGGAGGGCAGAACUCGAAAACAAAAAAAAUCAAGAGGGCAUUGCUUAGCGCGUUUAGUAAUUUUCUACUCACCUAUACUCCCCAAACAUUUCUUCAAGACAUUUUGUAUCCCUUCCAGUUGAGUUGUUGAGAUGUCAUACAUAAAUGUUUUCCAGAUAUAAUAGUUCAGUUUGAAGCAGAAAUCAAAAAACAUGUUUACGUGAUAACCUGUAAUAGAUAGACUUCACGCUCAAAAUACAUGUGUGUAUCUUCAUUGCAAUUUGGAGAAGUAGCUAUCCAAACCAAGAUGCUGCAAUCUUAGAGAAGAGAAAGCUGAAUCAUACCGUAUACUAGUAUUAGCUCCAGGUACGGAGCACAAAUCACUCUGAUAUUUUCUGCUUUGUCUGUGCACUUCAUGCCCAGCUUGGUGCCGCAUUGCUUGCUGCCACUACCUGCACUACCUGACAGAGCACACCAACCAUGUAAUCCACGGUCCACCCAGCAAGGCAUUCUAACAAGUAAUCCACCACAACUGUAAGUUCACAGACCAUAUGCAUCCGACAGCUGUAUCCUAAAAUCAAGAAAAUUACGGAACGAGUCUGGCGAUGGCUGCUCAUCUUGAUGGUUCUCUCUCGAAAUUGUGAGGACGGCCCAGAGGUUCCUUCGGCGAGGAGGAGAACUAUGCCGACGGUGCAGACAUUCCUGCAGGAGGCGAGUGGUAGCGAGCAUCGUGUAGCGGAGGCUGGCGAAGGUGAGGACAUGUCCAAAUGCCGCAUCGACCAGCACGGGCACGUCGUGAUGGAGAAGGGGCUCGAAGGAGACGAGGAGGUCGUCGAUCAAGAGCGGCGGAGGACAAGUUUGAACAGCCGACAACAUCGCGUAGUGGAUUCAGCGUGGAGGGAGGAAGCUGGCGGCGUUAACCUAGCCGCCACGGGGUAGGGCAGCGACAGUCGGGAAACGCGAAAGGAGCAUGGAGGUGGAGGGCGUUUCUAGCGUGGGUCGUGUUGGCUGGCUUUUUUCCGGAAAGAAGAAUUGCCCUGGUUUUCUUACGACAGUUUUUUGGUUUGAUGAAAAAAAUCGAUGGCGAGCGAGGGGGUCGUGCGAGGGGAGGGGAGCGGACGAAGGAACGAACGAACGAACGACAUACGGACUCGUACAUUAGGAGUAGAGAUUGUGCUGAAAAAAAUCAACUAGCGAAAAAAUCAACUAGCUCACGCAAAACUGAGUACUGGGAUGGCACACCCGACACGUCUUCCUGGCGACGCGGGGAGCGAACCCGCCCCACGUCGGUGGCCGGUGUGGUUCGUCGCCAAUCUGACGAUGGCGGCUCAAAAGCUUCACCGCGGGGUGAUCGUGCUUGGUCCGGACUCAGCGACGCUCGACCUCAUCGACAAGCGGGGGUGUACGGUGGACAGGCAGUCCAGGAGAGGGCUCGUGUUGGCCCCUAGAACCAUGAUUGUGUUCCCUUGUCACGUUGCGCGCAUUGAGGAGGAGAUCCUAGGCGGGGCUGCCGCCUCGGGAGCCGGCGAGGGAGGAAUUGCGGCUGGUGGGAGAGAAAUCGCGGCCGGUGGGGGAUUAAUUGCGUGCAAUACUUAUGGUGAGUCCGCCCCUAUCCCUCUCUAUCCUCCUCUUCUAGCAACCACACCCACCUCCCUCUCUGGUGACGACCGCGACGGCGAUGGUGGAGAUCGACGAAGAGAAGAUGAGGAAGUUUGUAGGCCGAGACACGCGCAUGCAUGCUCGUUUGCGGGAGAUCGGCUCGUGGUACACAAGCAAAAGGGAGAUGCAUGCGGAGGCGGAGGCAAUCUUCGAGAGGUUGACGACGGCGGAGGAAAGGUCGCUGUUCAGAAGGGGUGGACGCAAGCACCCGCUCCAUGUGCUGCUUUGGGCGAUGGACCAGGCGGACCGGAAAGGGCCGUGGCGAGGAAGUGGGUGGAGUUCACUUCCUUCAAGACGGCGCACCUUGCUCCGGCCAUGAGGGGAUCAACUCUCAGAUCCCGCGAGGGGGUCCUAGCCCCCCUGCCCCAGGCUCGGCCAUGGCGCCGAUCGUGAUCUGCGACGACCCGGUGGAACAGCCAUCAUAGGAGGAAGCGCGGAUGCCACGUCGUUCCGCGCGCCUCGCACCAAAUCCGACUCCGCGCCGCUCGGCACGCCUCACCGGAAAUGAUGCCUGAAGACUUCGUUAGCCAACAACCGCUUCUGGAGGUUGGCUAACGAAGAUUCAAGUACCGAUUCUGACGAGGAUGAUGAUUUAGGUAAGGAUUGUUGUCCCUUUUCUUCAUAUGCCUCUACUACAUACGAAAAUAGAGAGCAUCUUCGUGAAAUUGAUAUACGAAGCCAAAUCAGGUGAGUUAAUAGAAAAAUGAAAAAGAAAAUGAAUCAAUAUGUUCAGAGUUUGCUUCUGAAACAUGAGACUGAUAUUGAUAAGAAGAAAAUUGAUACGACCGAGACCAAAUGUGAUGGUAGCUUUACUCAUAUUGACUCUCCUAGCUGGGGAGAAUAUCAUUGUAAAAGUAUAGGCAUGCCUCUGAUUAAAACGAAACCUAGAAAUCCAAUAAUAUGGGAUUAUGCCGGAUUCCCUGAAUAUCUGAGUGAUAUUGAGAUGGAUGAGCCUAAUCAAACCAAAAGAGUAAUUGAUAUUAGUUCGGUGGGAGGGAAGAAAUUAAACAGGAUUGAUAACAAAACUGUCAAGUUGUCAAAGAUGAACAUUCCUGAAAAUUUUAUCCUUGAGGAAGAGGCUGAAGAAAUUCAAAGGGGAGGGGAAAGCCAGAUUUCUACAAAAGGAAAUAAAGAAGACAACAGAGGAGAUAGUUGGAUGCGGGGGGAGGGGGGGUUACUGAAAAAGGCCUUUUGGGCUUUUGGCCCAAUAAGGUGGUCGGUUUUGGGGGCCCAGGGAGGAAAGCAGGGGAAGGUAUAUAUAAAGGGGGCAUUCCACUUUACAUACCAGAACCAGACUUCCUCCACCUCCCAAACCCUAUAUCCAAGGCGGCGGCGAGCAGAGAAAUCAGAUCUGAAGAAGAAGAGAGGAUUUGGGGAGNNNNNNNNNNNNNNNNNNNNNNNNNNNNNNNNNNNNNNNNNNNNNNNNNNNNNNNNNNNNNNNNNNNNNNNNNNNNNNNNNNNNNNNNNNNNNNNNNNNNNNNNNNNNNNNNNNNNNNNNNNNNNNNNNNNNNNNNNNNNNNNNNNNNNNNNNNNNNNNNNNNNNNNNNNNNNNNNNNNNNNNNNNNNNNNNNNNNNNNNNNNNNNNNNNNNNNNNNNNNNNNNNNNNNNNNNNNNNNNNNNNNNNNNNNNNNNNNNNNNNNNNNNNNNNNNNNNNNNNNNNNNNNNNNNNNNNNNNNNNNNNNNNNNNNNNNNNNNNNNNNNNNNNNNNNNNNNNNNNNNNNNNNNNNNNNNNNNNNNNNNNNNNNNNNNUGGGACCUGGUAGUAGCUUUGCAGUUGCCAAUCCCAAUAUUCAGCAAAUGGGUAUGCAAGGGGGACAGAUGCAGAUGGCAGGUGGAUUUCCCAUGGUAAACAACCCUAAUUUCCCUCAGCUGGUGCCUGUUGGGAUGGGGCUGGGGCAGUUUGGUUUCUUACCACAUGAACAAAUGGCAUAUCAAUACCAAUAUCUGCUGUCUAACAUGCCUAAGCAGGAAAUACUGAAGAUGCAGGAGCAAGCAAAAGAUGAGGGAGGGAAAGAGGCACCAAAGAAAAGGGAAGUAGGUAAGAAUAACAAAGAUCUUUUCUGUGUUAAAUGCAAAGAGCAGGGACAUCUCAAGAGUAACUGCAAAAAUAGGUGUUUUGUGUGGUGUGUCAGAGAGCAUCAUACAAUACUGAGGAGUGUACAAUCCUGAAGCAAGCUAAACCUGUGGCCAAAUAUGUGGGGUAUGGAGCUAGGGGACUGGGAUGUUUAUUGGUCGAGCACACCAAAGACAUUGUUGCUACUGAGCAUAUAAACCCAAUGGCACUAGUCACUGUACAAUCUGGGCAGUUGAAUGAGACUAUAGUAGCCUAUGGAUUUGCCAAGAUGUUUGAAUGGGGGUGGGCCUGGAGAGCUAAAUUCUAGAGUCCAAAAACCUUCCUGAUGAGAUUUCCUAACAAAACCAAAUUGGUGGAGCUUAAAAACUUUGGAAAAUUCACCCUGUUGGGAACAAGAGCAAUGGUUGAGGUUGAUUUCUGGAGCCCAUAUGAUAAAGCCAAGGGAAAACUUCACUCAGUUUGGAUAAAGAUGUGGGGAGUGCCUGACACUCUAAGGCACUACUUAGGGGUGUGUGAGAUUGGCUCUGCUUUAGGACCAGUAGUGGAGGUUGAUGUGGAGCACAUACACUCCCAGGAAGAAAUCAGGGUGAAGGUUGGAGAGAGUGACAUGCACAAAAUUCCAGUAGGGACUGAGAUUACCACUAAAGACCUUUUGCUAUAUGACAUAAACUUUGAGUUUGACUCAGUUGCUGAACAGGGAUGGUACAAGUUUGAUGAGGGGAACAAAAGGAAGAUGUUUGAAUAUCUAGAUCUUGAGAACUUUGAGUCACAAAGAGAGAAUGGCAUGCAAAAGAAAAGCAAACAAGUGGACACUAAAAAACAGGGCAUGAACCUGGGGCAUUUGGGUCUGAAACAGUAUGAACAGAUGGUUCUGAAAACUAGUGAGAUCUGUCAAACUGAUGAAGUCUCCAAAAAAAAAACAAAGAGACAGCUGCAGUUACAGAAUUGCAAGAGAGGGAAGAGAGCCUGAUGAUCAGGCUACAAAAAGCAGAGGAACUGGCUGUUAGGCAGACUGCGCAACUAAUGUUGGAAGAGAAAAGGAGGAAAGAAUUGGAGCUUAUUAGGAAAACCCUUGAGAAGGAGGUUAAAAGACAGCAUGAGCUACUCCAGAUCAAUCUGAAAGGGGAUGAUGAUGUGAAAGGAUCACAAUCUGGAGAUAAAAGCAGCAAUGAAGAGGAAGAAGUAGAAGCCAUUGAUGAAGAUAUGGGAGUGGAGGACAAACAGGAAGAGGGGGGAGAUAUGAUAGAGCAAGAAUUGAUUGAUCAAGACAUUGGGCUGGGAUAUGUGGAGCCAGUGGAUUACACAGCUAGUCAAGACACAGACUCAUUUGAGACUAAGAUUAAAAAAGCUGGGAAGGGGGAGGCUGUACUGAAAGAUGAAGAGGAGCUGAGAAGAUGCCUUAGGUUAAAGGGAAAAGAAGAUCGUAACAUUACAAAACUGGCCAGGGAGAGGGCAGCAAAGAAAGAUAACUAUGGUGAGUUACCUUGUAUUGGAAGCUUUCCUAAAUCUAACAGUUUAUUGCAAAAGGUUGCUGAGGGGGUAGGGGUCACACUAGGAAAAAAUACUGAUAUGAUUAAUCAUAAUUUGGAAUUGAUAAAAAAUGUGGAGCAUGCUAGAAUUGACUUGUGGUUGUCUGACUUAAAUAAAAAACAGAAACACGAUAUGCUGCCUGAGGGAAAUGAGAUCAUUGACACUGGGAAACAUACCCUGGAAGAUUUACUAGACCAGGGAGAUGAGGAGGGAGAUAGAAAGGAUGAUGAGGAUUGGGAAAUAGUUAGAGAAUUUUUCUCAUCAAAAAAGGGGGGAAGAAGGACAAAACCACCAGAGGUUCUGGGGUUAAAACUGCCUUUGCUGUAAAAAUGUUAGAAUCCUCUGCUAAGAAAAAGAAACAAAAGAAAUGAGAGGUAUUUUUUGAAAUAUGAGAGGUUUUGGGGGAGACAUUAAAAGAAGAUUCCUUAGGGAAAUGAUAAUGGAUAUGAAAGUAGAUUUUCUGGGUUUGCAAGAGACCAUGAGAAAACAAUUUUCUAGAAAUGAUUUACAGCAAAUUUGUGCUGGCAGAGACUUCCACUGGCAUUUCACUCGAGCUAGGGGGAAAUCUGGUGGACUCUUGUUAGGGGUGAAUUACACCACUCUAGAUGUGAUCUCACAAGAUGAAGGAGAUUAUCAUAUUAAAAUGACAGUGCAAGAUCUAAAAACUAGGUUCAUUUGGAACCUAGUGGUGAUUUAUGGAGAUGCUCAACCAGAGAGGAAAGCUAAAUUCCCGGUUGAUCUUUCUAGAACUUUUCAAACCAGUGUAAAUCCCAUUCUGAUAGGGGGUGAUUUCAACAUUAUUAGAAAAGCCGGUGAAAAAAAUAAACCUGGCACUCCUAGACAUUGGAGUUUUUUGUUUAAUGCUAUUCUGGAACAAGCUGGAGUUAGAGAGCUUGAAAUGAAUGGUAGACAAUUUACAUGGGGUAAUAAUGUGCCUGUACCUACCUUUGAAAAGCUGGAUAGAAUUUUAUGUACUACAGAAUGGGAGGAGGUAUACCCCCUUGACUCAAAUUACAACACCAACUAGAGAGAAAUCUGACCAUACACCACUUCUUUUAGACUUUCGUGACAUUCAAAAAUCUGAUCCCAUUUUCAGAUUUGAAAAUACUUGGUUCUUGAGAGAGGGGAUUGACAAGAUUGUUCAUGAUAUCUGGAAUGACACCAGUAUCACUGGAGACAGUGUAGACAGAUUGUUGGGGAAAUUUAGACUACUCAGGCCUAAACUCAAAGGCUGGAACAGAAACAUGAAUGCUUGGUAUGUUGAGUUGAAAAAAUACAUUUUACUUAAGCUGGAUAAUAUUGAUUAACAUUGUGAACAGAAUGGACUUACUGCUGCUGUUAAAAAGGAGCAAAUAGAGCUUAGAGCUCAGUUGGACUGGCUUUUACAACAGGAAGAAGCUAAGUGGAAGCAAAGGGCUAAGGUGGAUGAAUUACUGGAAGGAGAUAGUAACACAAAAUUCUUCCAUGCCAAGGAAAAUGGGAGACUUAGAAGAAACAAGAUUAAUAGGCUUGAGCAAGAAGAUGGGGUGAUUGAGGGAGACAAAAAUCUGGUAGAACAUAUAACAAGUUUCUAUAAAAACCUGUUUGGUCAUCCUCACAACUCUACAAUUUUUCUAAAUAUUGAAAAUCCAAAAAUGAUUCAUGAACAGUAUAGAGACAUACUGAUCAAUGAGUUCUCUGUAGAGGAAAUUAAGAAUGUGGUCUUUAAUAUGGCCCAUAAUAAGUCACCUGGCCCUGAUGGAUUUACAGCUGAAUUUUAUCAGCACUAUUGGGAGUUGGUAAAACAUGACCUUAAGUCCUUACUGGAUGAUUUUGCAAACAAAAGAAUUUAUAUUAGUAGGUUAAAUUAUGGGAUUAUUACUCUAGUCCCAAAAAGCAAAGAUGCUACUAGGAUACAAAAUUUCAGGCCUAUUUGCUUGUUAAAUGUUUGUUUCAAAAUUAUUACUAAAGUUCUGAUGAACAGAUUGAAUAUGGUGGAAGCAGAUGUCAUUUCCCCUGUGCAAACUGCUUUUGCUAAGGGAUGAUAUAUUAUGGAGGGGGUUUUGAUUUUGCAUGAAGCCUUGAAUAGCAUAAAAAAGAAGAAACAAGGUGCUUUUCUUUUAAAGAUAGACUUUGAAAAAGCUUACAAUAAGAUUAAACGGUCCUUUCUUUUCCAAAUGCUCAAAAUGAAAGGUUUUCCAGACAAAUGGAUAGAUUGGGUGAUGGAAACAAUCAGAGGAGGAAAGGUUUGUGUGAAAGUAAAUGAAAACCUAGGGACAUACUUCCCUACUCAUGAAGGGCUGAGACAGGGGGAUUCCCUGUCACCUCUUAAUUUUGACUUGGCGGCUGAUGCUUUGGCUAUCAUGCUUGAUAAUGCCAGGAAAAAUGGGCUAGUUAAGGGGGUACUGGAGGAAUAUGCCACAGAUGGGAUUAACAUGUUGCAGUAUGCAGAUGAUACCAUCUUUCUUUUACAAGACGACAUAGAUAAUGCACAUAACCUUAAAUAUAUAUUAUGCCUAUUUGAGCAGAUGUCUGGUUUAAAAAUCAAUUUUCAUAAGAGCGAACUUUUCCUUUUUGGGGAGGCCAAGAACAAAAAAGAUGAAUAUGCUAAGAUAUUCACUUGCCCCAUUGGGGCUUUGCCAAUGAAAUAUUUAGGACUACCAGUGGAUGGAAGCAGAAUUAGCAACAAGCACUGUAAAUCUCCAGAGUAAAAUGGAGAGAAAAUGUGAAACCUGGCAAGGGAGGCUCCUUGCUAGUGCUGGGAGGGUCACUUUAAUACAAUCUUCUCUGGCAGGCAUCCCUUACUUUAUGAUGUCCUUUUAUGGAUUACCUAUUAGGGUGAAUAAGCGAAUGGAUUUCUUUAGAGCUAGGUUAUUGUGGCAGGAAGAUGAUAAAAAGAAAAAAUAUCAUCUGGUUAAAUGGUCUGCUGUCUGUAGACCUAAAGACAUGGGUGGUUUGGGGAUCCAAAAUCUAGCACUGAUGAAUAAUGCUCUCUUGAGCAAAUGGUGGUGGAAAAUUUACAACACAGAAGGGUUAUGGCAAGAGAUUAUUUUGAAAAAAAUACCAAGGAUCCAAGCCUAUUGGAAAUAUAACUGCUAAACAAGGAGACUCCCAAUUUUGGAAGGAAUUAUUGAAACAUAGGGAUCAUUUUACCUCUUUAUGUAAACUCAUAAUAGGAGAUGGAGGUAACACCAGAUUCUGGGAAGACUGGUGGAUUGGAUCUGCACCACUUUGUAAAAAAAUUCCCAGGUUAUAUAAUAUCUGUUUUGAUAAAAAGAAAACAGUUAAAGAAAUUUUUGAGAAAGGGUUUAAUAACAUAUGCUUUAGAAGGGCCCUGAUAGGGGACUCAAAAGAGCUCUGGGAACAUAUAAAAGAGGUAUGCAGUUCGGUGGUGUUGAGAGAUACAAAAGAUAAAGUGAAAUGGACUCUAACAAAAAAUGGGAUUUAUACGGUAAAAUCCUUCUACAGACAUCUUGUAGAGAAUGGGAUCAAUACGCACACUUAUAUAUGUGGAAAAUUAAAAUGCCACCUAGAGUUAAAGUCUUCAUGUGGCUGGCUCUUAGAAACAGCAUUCUCACUAAAGAUAACCUGCUACGUAGGGGUUGGAAAGGUGAUGAAAAUUGUCCAUUCUGUGGGCGUAGAAAGAGUAUUAAUCAUUUGUUUCUGACCUGUUCAAUAGCUAGGCUUUUGUGGAAUAUUUUGAAAUGUGCUUUCAACUUAACUGAUAUACCAGACGAAUUAGAACUGGUGGUUAAAAGUUGAGCAAAAAACUUUGGAAAAGAUGAGAGGAGCUUAGUUUUGAUAGGAAUUUCGGCUAUCUGUUGGACUAUUUGGAAAUUGAGAAAUAGUGUUGUUUUUGAUAAUAACAGAGUAAAUGAUCCUUGUAUACCUGUCAACUUACUACUCAAGAACUUAUAUGAUUGGAACAUCUUGCAGAAAACCCCCGUAAAAAAUAAGAUGAUGGAGGUAGGAGUGAAGCAGAUCGGCGACGUAGCUGAAGAAGUGUUCAAGGCAGUCCAUGGAUGGCAUCUGGAGACCAGAAGAAUUGUGGGAUAAGCUACAACUCCUCUGCCAUAUGCUGCUGUGGUGGACGCUUAAUCAGGCCUUUGCUGCCCUGCUCUCACCCUGUCUCUUUUGAGCUCUUUUUGUAUGGGGAUGCUCUAGCUAUUGUAUGAUGUUAAACUACUUUCUUUUUGCUCUUGUGAACCUUGUAAUGCUGGUACUGGGACCGGUUUGAGCCCAGGCCUUAGAUCUUCCCCUGGGGGGUUCUUGCUUGAGGGUCUGUGGGAAGGGGAGGGAUGGCUCUCCUUCCUCCUCGAUAGCNNNNNNNNNNNNNNNNNNNNNNNNNNNNNNNNNNNNNNNNNNNNNNNNNNNNNNNNNNNNNNNNNNNNNNNNNNNNNNNNNNNNNNNNNNNNNNNNNNNNNNNNNNNNNNNNNNNNNNNNNNNNNNNNNNNNNNNNNNNNNNNNNNNNNNNNNNNNNNNNNNNNNNNNNNNNNNNNNNNNNNNNNNNNNNNNNNNNNNNNNNNNNNNNNNNNNNNNNNNNNNNNNNNNNNNNNNNNNNNNNNNNNNNNNNNNNNNNNNNNNNNNNNNNNNNNNNNNNNNNNGUCAGUUUUUUCUUUGCUUUCCUUUUUAGUUGUAAGAAGACCUGUUGAUUUCUUUUAAUAGAAAUCAGAGAGAGAGCUCUCCUUUAUAAAAAAAACUGCUUAGUGUAGAUCCAUGGAUUGAUAUGGAAAGUUAUAGAAAUGUUGUAGAAAUGGCCUUGCUUCAUGGCCAGCCGUGCCUAAUAUACAUGUCGUAGGAAUAUUUUUUUAGGAUUAGUAAUCCAUGGAUAUCUAUAUUGGUAUGCAUAUGAAGUGCUUGAUGACCCCAAUUACUAGUAAUUAAGUUCUUGAAUGUGAAUGCGAAUUGAAUGUGUGUGUGUGGGUAUAAAGACAAACCAAAUAGGGCAAUAAUACAUAUUACAUAACAAGGUCCACAAAACACAAAUAAACAUAGUUUUUGCAAACAUAAUGUUAGGAAUAGGCCCGAUUUAUCGAUAUAUUCCUGAUAAAUCGCUUGUUAGAGUGAUAAAUCAGCCCAAAUGAUAAAUGGCGAAGAUAAUGCAUAAUCUUAUCGGUCACCCCAUGAGUAGCAAUAAAUCGGACGAUAAAUCGAUGAAUCAGAAGAUUUUUUGGACAGUGGUAUGCGGUAUGCUUAAUUAAGAGGACAAUCAAUAUGUGUGUAUGUAUUCCCUCUGUUUAGUGAUCUAAACGCUUUUAUAUUUCUUUAAAGAGGGAGUAGAUGACAUGGAUAUGAAUCAAUUUGAGUGGAUAAAUUUUUUUGAAUGAUGCAAAGAAAAAUGCAUUAUGUUUACAAGCAAAUACAUAUUCAUGUGAUACUGUUUUGGCAUAUAGAAUUUAUGAAAUGUAUAUGCAUGGUAGGCCUCUCCUUUCGAGAGAGAAAAUCAUUGUAUGUAUAGAUGGAAAUCAAUUUGAGAGUAUAUAUUAUAUUUCUUUUUGAAUUAUGGAAAUAAGAAUCCAUAUUCAUGUGGUAUGAAAAUAUAUGAUUUUUUAUGUGGUAUACCAAUCAAUAUCUGAUGUGUUUUACGUGGUAUGAAUUUGUGAAUGCGAAUGUGUAGUCUAUUUCUCUUGAUAAAUAUUUAGCCAUCGUACUUUCUUCUCUAACAGAAUAUGGCAUGCCAAGUUUGCAAGUCAAAGUGUGAAAGAAGCCUUACAAGUGG
RNAcentral lists this long non-coding RNA (30816 nucleotides) under Triticum aestivum (bread wheat). RNAcentral's name for it is "long non-coding RNA (TAES_LNC020075)". Lineage: Eukaryota; Viridiplantae; Streptophyta; Magnoliopsida; Poales; Poaceae. The record is from RNAcentral.